RNAcentral lists this long non-coding RNA (30083 nucleotides) under Gossypium barbadense (sea-island cotton). Its description in RNAcentral is "long non-coding RNA (GBAR_LNC016476)". Lineage: Eukaryota; Viridiplantae; Streptophyta; Magnoliopsida; Malvales; Malvaceae. The record is from RNAcentral.
UAGGUGCCGAUUUGGUUUUAUUCAUGUCGUCAACAAUGACUACAAUCACUGGUUCCUGUAUGCCAUUGGCGGCACCAGCAACCCUACAAUUAUCAGCCAGGGAAAUAGGUAUUCAGCGCCAGGCUUUGGGGCUAAAGAGGUGACCUGUAGGGGCCUCUUAAAGCCGGGACAGUGGAAGAAUUGGAAUUGGGUAUCACAAGGUGACCACUUCGAGAACGGUGCCUUCUUUACACCAUCAGGUAAUCCAAGUGCCAGCAAGCAAUUUGGCGCCGACAAAAUGAUGCCUUUCAAACCUGGUCAAAUGGUCCCCGAGCUCACAAAGUAUGCCGGACCACUAAGCUGCACAAUCGGCCGUCCUUGCUAAAAAUGCUAUUUUUAUAUGCAUUUGUCCUCCCUUUUUUACGUACAAUAUUUGAUACCCAAGCAUAGUACAUUUGGUAUCUUUUCUGAAUGAUUGUCAGUAAAUUUUCUUUUAUGCGAUCCCACCCUAUUCUCUUCUUCUCUCCUAGUAAUAGAUAAUCACAAUUUUUUUCUCACGCGUGACUGUGGAAAUCAUAAAUUUAGAACAUAAAUGUUUGUUUGAAAAUAACAUAUAAUGAAUAAUGAAAUGUGUGGUUUGAAAUAAAGUAACAAUAAUAACAUUGAUUAUCAUGGUGUUUUCAUCAAUCUUUAGUUGGUGUAGGCACCAAAUCAAUCAAAUACAUUAAUCUAACAUAUCUAGUAUAUAUAUUCUAUUGCAAGGUUUUUUUGGAUUUGUGGAAACCUUCAGUUUGAAGUGAGUUUAGAAUUCGCUAUGCGUCACCAAUCAUUUCAUGACAGCAAUGGAAAUUAAUGAAAUAAAAUAUUUGGUUAGAACUAAAGUUGCGUAAUUAAUUAAAAAUUUUAACAAUCGCGAGACCAUUUAGUUUCUAUAAAUUUUGCAUGUCCCAACUUACAUAUUCGGGUAAUUAGUCAUUUGUCAAAACACAUCAAAGUGAGAAAAGAAAGAAACAAGAAUCAUGGUCAUUCCUCAUAUAGUUAUAUUCGUAAUAAUGCAAUCGCAACGGUGAUUCCACCAGGUGUUCUUGCAUCACCAAGAACUAAAUUGAUUUUCUAGAACAAGAUUUAUAAUGGAGACAUCAAGUAUGUAUUUAAGGUGGUGUAUGAGUUAGAUUUCUUUAAGACUCAGCGGGGGUCGGGGAGCCGCCCAAGACAUUGCUUUUACCAGUAUAAAGUCAAAUACCGAAGCAAAAAAACUUGCAAAGCCGAGAGGACAUAGGAUUAAUAAUUCAGCACCUAUGUUUUGAGUUGCUCCAUAGUUGACGCGUGGUAUCAGCUUAGUAAGGGCUUAAAUAAUCGUAUAGAUAUUUAUAAUUGAUGGACAUAAUAAAGUAUGCUUAACAAAUUUGAAAAUCAAAAAAGAAAAUCAAUGUCUUGGUACAGUGUUAAAUUUAUGGUUUUACUAGCAUAAUAAUUGAUUUGGGUUCAAAUCCCUUCGACAACAUAUUUUAUAUUCUUUUAAAACAAUAAGAAUUAAAAUAACCUUCAAUAAUAUAACUUAUUUUAAACAUGACAGGAAUGUAUUUCUAAUUUCCGUAAUAGAGUCGAUGCUCGAUCGACUCAUGUCACCGAAUUAGUUAAGGACUUCAAUAAAUGUUAGUAUAGAUUGUAACAAUAAUGAAAUAUGCAUUAAAAAUCACCACAGAGGUUCAAUAUACACUCGAAUCUCUGUACUCUUUUAGACUUUUAAAAUUUGAAUACAUAGUGCUUUUAUAUUCAAAGGUCCAAGUAAUAAAUUAGAGUCCAAUUCAUAUCACAUAUUCAGAUUUGAGAGAAAUAAAUAAACUCUCUUACCAAUUGAACUUUUAUUUUUUAAAUCAACCAAGUGCAAGGAUUAAAAUCUUGAAAUUGAAAGGAGAGAGGUUUCAUCUGGAAAUGUUGAAGAGUAAAGGGAUUGGAGGAUAAUUAGAGAUUUUUUUUGUAAUUUCUGAAAUUAGACGUUUAGAAUGGUCUAAAAAAUGCAAGAAAACCUCAACUGUUUCUAUCCAAAAAAAAGGAAACAAAAUCCAACCAUUUUUUACGCACUUGAAACACUAGUAGCCAAGUGUGUUUUGUAAAUUUGGAAAUUUUCAUGAAUCCCGGUGUACUAUAAAUAGUGACAUAAUGAUGGUGUUCCAAGCAAAUCAUGCUCGAGUUCAAGUUUUUGGUGCCGUAGCUUGUCUCUCCUGUCCUAUUAGGGUCCUGUUUGCAUCCAACCAGUUGUUUCCAAGAGCUAGGCUUUGAUACUUAAAAUAAGAACCACUAUGGGUAUUUCUAGUUAUAGUUUCUUUCUGUUUUUAUUUGUUGUCAUAAUCCCAACCCUAGAAGCUCAUAUCGCUGAGUAUGACGAGUACUGGACGGCACGAGAAUUGGAAGCCAUUGAGAACCUGGACAAGGCCUAUCACUCCAACCCGGAGGAGGUGGUCCGCCAUUACAAUGACCACUUCUCUAGGACCAUGCUCGAGUUUUAUAUCACCAAAAGGGUGUUGGCAGAAUCAAAAAAGGGUCCCUGUGAGGUUACCAACCACGUUGACAGUUGCUGGCGAUGUGAUCCUGACUGGGAAAAGAAUAGGAAGAAGUUGGCCAACUGUGCCCCUGGAUUUGCUCGAGGUACUACCGGUGGAAAGGAUGGUGAGUUUUACGUGGUCACUGACCCUAUUGAUAAUGCUGCUGACCCCAAGCCUGGAACUCUGCGUCAUGCUGUCACCCAAACUGGACCACUUUGGAUCACUUUCAAAGGGUCCAUGACCAUCAAGCUGCAACAGGAGCUCAUUGUUACAAGUGAUAAGACCAUUGAUGCGAGGGGAGCCAAUGUGGAAAUUUGUAAUGGUGCUGGUAUCACUAUCCAAUUUGUGAAGAAUAUCAUUAUCCAUGGCCUUCAAAUCCAUCACAUUAUUCCCGCCAAGGGUGGCAAGAUCAAGGAUGGUGAAAACCACCAUGGGUUACGGGGUGACAGCGACGGAGACGGGGUGUCUAUUUUUGGAUCAACCAAUGUUUGGCUUGACCAUCUUGCCCUUCACCAUUGCGCCGAUGGCCUUAUCGAUGUCGUUCAAGGAUCAACUGCCGUUACCGUUUCUAACUGCCACUUCACUGACCAUAACGAUGUAAGCUUACUUUCCUUUCAAUUUUAAACUACGCACGAUGAGGAAUUUUUUGAUUGACAAAAAUAAUACAAUUGAAAUGAAAAAAAUUACAGGUGAUGUUGUUUGGAGCAAGCGACUCUUACAGUGCCGACAAGAAGAUGCAGGUCACUGUUGCUUUGAACCACUUCGGUAAAGGAUUGGUAGAGAGGAUGCCUAGGUGCCGAUUUGGUUUUAUUCAUGUCGUCAACAAUGACUACAAUCACUGGUUCCUGUAUGCCAUUGGCGGCACCAGCAACCCUACAAUUAUCAGCCAGGGAAAUAGGUAUUCAGCGCCAGGCUUUGGGGCUAAAGAGGUGACCUGUAGGGGCCUCUUAAAGCCGGGACAGUGGAAGAAUUGGAAUUGGGUAUCACAAGGUGACCACUUCGAGAACGGUGCCUUCUUUACACCAUCAGGUAAUCCAAGUGCCAGCAAGCAAUUUGGCGCCGACAAAAUGAUGCCUUUCAAACCUGGUCAAAUGGUCCCCGAGCUCACAAAGUAUGCCGGACCACUAAGCUGCACAAUCGGCCGUCCUUGCUAAAAAUGCUAUUUUUAUAUGCAUUUGUCCUCCCUUUUUUACGUACAAUAUUUGAUACCCAAGCAUAGUACAUUUGGUAUCUUUUCUGAAUGAUUGUCAGUAAAUUUUCUUUUAUGCGAUCCCACCCUAUUCUCUUCUUCUCUCCUAGUAAUAGAUAAUCACAAUUUUUUUCUCACGCGUGACUGUGGAAAUCAUAAAUUUAGAACAUAAAUGUUUGUUUGAAAAUAACAUAUAAUGAAUAAUGAAAUGUGUGGUUUGAAAUAAAGUAACAAUAAUAACAUUGAUUAUCAUGGUGUUUUCAUCAAUCUUUAGUUGGUGUAGGCACCAAAUCAAUCAAAUACAUUAAUCUAACAUAUCUAGUAUAUAUUCUAUUGCAAGGUUAUUUUGGAUUUGUGGAAACCUUCAGUUUGAAGUGAGUUUAGAAUUCGCUAUGCGUCACCAAUCAUUUCAUGACAGCAAUGGAAAUUAAUGAAAUAAAAUAUUUGGUUAGAACUAAAGUUGCGUAAUUAAUUAAAAAUUUUAACAAUCGCGAGACCAUUUAGUUUCUAUAAAUUUUGCAUGUCCCAACUUACAUAUUCGGGUAAUUAGUCAUUUGUCAAAACACAUCAAAGUGAGAAAAGAAAGAAACAAGAAUCAUGGUCAUUCCUCUAUAGUUAUAUUCGUAAUAAUGCAAUCGCAACGGUGAUUCCACCAGGUGUUCUUGCAUCACCAAGAACUAAAUUGAUUUUCUAGAACAAGAUUUAUAAUGGAGACAUCAAGUAUGUAUUUAAGGUGGUGUAUGAGUUAGAUUUCUUUAAGACUCAGCGGGGGUCGGGGAGCCGCCCAAGACAUUGCUUUUACCAGUAUAAAGUCAAAUACCGAAGCAAAAAAACUUGCAAAGCCGAGAGGACAUAGGAUUAAUAAUUCAGCACCUAUGUUUUGAGUUGCUCCAUAGUUGACGCGUGGUAUCAGCUUAGUAAGGGCUUAAAUAAUCGUAUAGAUAUUUAUAAUUGAUGGACAUAAUAAAGUAUGCUUAACAAAUUUGAAAAUCAAAAAAGAAAAUCAAUGUCUUGGUACAGUGUUAAAUUUAUGGUUUUACUAGCAUAAUAAUUGAUUUGGGUUCAAAUCCCUUCGACAACAUAUUUUAUAUUCUUUUAAAACAAUAAGAAUUAAAAUAACCUUCAAUAAUAUAACUUAUUUUAAACAUGACAGGAAUGUAUUUCUAAUUUCCGUAAUAGAGUCGAUGCUCGAUCGACUCAUGUCACCGAAUUAGUUAAGGACUUCAAUAAAUGUUAGUAUAGAUUGUAACAAUAAUGAAAUAUGCAUUAAAAAUCACCACAGAGGUUCAAUAUACACUCGAAUCUCUGUACUCUUUUAGACUUUUAAAAUUUGAAUACAUAGUGCUUUUAUAUUCAAAGGUCCAAGUAAUAAAUUAGAGUCCAAUUCAUAUCACAUAUUCAGAUUUGAGAGAAAUAAAUAAACUCUCUUACCAAUUGAACUUUUAUUUUUUAAAUCAACCAAGUGCAAGGAUUAAAAUCUUGAAAUUGAAAGGAGAGAGGUUUCAUCUGGAAAUGUUGAAGAGUAAAGGGAUUGGAGGAUAAUUAGAGAUUUUUUUUUGUAAUUUCUGAAAUUAGACGUUUAGAAUGGUCUAAAAAAUACAAGAAAACCUCAACUGUUUCUAUCCAAAAAAAAGGAAACAAAAUCCAACCAUUUUUUACGCACUUGAAACACUAGUAGCCAAGUGUGUUUUGUAAAUUUGGAAAUUUUCAUGAAUCCCGGUGUACUAUAAAUAGUGACAUAAUGAUGGUGUUCCAAGCAAAUCAUGCUCGAGUUCAAGUUUUUGGUGCCGUAGCUUGUCUCUCCUGUCCUAUUAGGGUCCUGUUUGCAUCCAACCAGUUGUUUCCAAGAGCUAGGCUUUGAUACUUAAAAUAAGAACCACUAUGGGUAUUUCUAGUUAUAGUUUCUUUCUGUUUUUAUUUGUUGUCAUAAUCCCAAACCUAGAAGCUCAUAUCGCUGAGUAUGACGAGUACUGGACGGCACGAGAAUUGGAAGCCAUUGAGAACCUGGACAAGGCCUAUCACUCCAACCCGGAGGAGGUGGUCCGCCAUUACAAUGACCACUUCUCUAGGACCAUGCUCGAGUUUUAUAUCACCAAAAGGGUGUUGGCAGAAUCAAAAAAGGGUCCCUGUGAGGUUACCAACCACGUUGACAGUUGCUGGCGAUGUGAUCCUGACUGGGAAAAGAAUAGGAAGAAGUUGGCCAACUGUGCCCCUGGAUUUGCUCGAGGUACUACCGGUGGAAAGGAUGGUGAGUUUUACGUGGUCACUGACCCUAUUGAUAAUGCUGCUGACCCCAAGCCUGGAACUCUGCGUCAUGCUGUCACCCAAACUGGACCACUUUGGAUCACUUUCAAAGGGUCCAUGACCAUCAAGCUGCAACAGGAGCUCAUUGUUACAAGUGAUAAGACCAUUGAUGCGAGGGGAGCCAAUGUGGAAAUUUGUAAUGGUGCUGGUAUCACUAUCCAAUUUGUGAAGAAUAUCAUUAUCCAUGGCCUUCAAAUCCAUCACAUUAUUCCCGCCAAGGGUGGCAAGAUCAAGGAUGGUGAAAACCACCAUGGGUUACGGGGUGACAGCGACGGAGACGGGGUGUCUAUUUUUGGAUCAACCAAUGUUUGGCUUGACCAUCUUGCCCUUCACCAUUGCGCCGAUGGCCUUAUCGAUGUCGUUCAAGGAUCAACUGCCGUUACCGUUUCUAACUGCCACUUCACUGACCAUAACGAUGUAAGCUUACUUUCCUUUCAAUUUUAAACUACGCACGAUGAGGAAUUUUUUGAUUGACAAAAAUAAUACAAUUGAAAUGAAAAAAAUUACAGGUGAUGUUGUUUGGAGCAAGCGACUCUUACAGUGCCGACAAGAAGAUGCAGGUCACUGUUGCUUUGAACCACUUCGGUAAAGGAUUGGUAGAGAGGAUGCCUAGGUGUCCGAUUUGGUUUUAUUCAUGUCGUCAACAAUGACUACAAUCACUGGUUCCUGUAUGCCAUUGGCGGCACCAGCAACCCUACAAUUAUCAGCCAGGGAAAUAGGUAUUCAGCGCCAGGCUUUGGGGCUAAAGAGGUGACCUGUAGGGGCCUCUUAAAGCCGGGACAGUGGAAGAAUUGGAAUUGGGUAUCACAAGGUGACCACUUCGAGAACGGUGCCUUCUUUACACCAUCAGGUAAUCCAAGUGCCAGCAAGCAAUUUGGCGCCGACAAAAUGAUGCCUUUCAAACCUGGUCAAAUGGUCCCCGAGCUCACAAAGUAUGCCGGACCACUAAGCUGCACAAUCGGCCGUCCUUGCUAAAAAUGCUAUUUUUAUAUGCAUUUGUCCUCCCUUUUUUACGUACAAUAUUUGAUACCCAAGCAUAGUACAUUUGGUAUCUUUUCUGAAUGAUUGUCAGUAAAUUUUCUUUUAUGCGAUCCCACCCUAUUCUCUUCUCCUCUCCUACUAAUAGAUAAUCACAAUUUUUUUCGAACGCGUAACUGUGGAAGUCAGAAAUUUUUAACAUAAAUGUUUGUUUGAAAAUAACAUAUAAUGAAUAAUGAAAUGUGUGGUUUGAAAUAAAGUAACAAUAAUAACAUUGAUUAUCAUGGUGUUUUCCUCAAUCUUUAGUUGGUGUAGGCACCAAAUCAAUCAAAUACAUUAAUCUAACAUAUCUAGUAUAUAUAUUCUAUUGCAAGGUUAUUUUGGAUUUGUGGAAACCUUCAGUUUGAAGUGAGUUUAGAAUUCGCUAUGCGUCACCAAUCAUUUCAUGACAGGAAUGGAAAUUAAUGAAAUAAAAUAUUUGGUUAGAACUAAAGUUGCGUAAUUAAUUAAAAAUUUUAACAAUCGCGAGACCAUUUAGUUUCUAUAAAUUUUGUAUGUCCCGACUUACAUAUUCGGGUAAUUAGUCAUUUGUCAAAACACAUCAAAGUGAGAAAAGAAAAAAACAAGAAUCAUGAGCAUUCCUCAUAUAGUAAUAUUCAUAAUAAUGCAAUCGCAACGGUGAUUCCACCAGGUGUUCUUGCAUCACCAAGAACUAAAUUGAUUUUCUAGAACAACAUUUAUAAUGGAGACAUCAAGUAUGUAUUUAAGGUGGUGUAUGAGUUUGAUUUCUUUAAGACUCGGCGGGGGUCGGGGAGCCGCCCAAGACAUUGCUUUUACCAGUAUAAAGUCAAAUACUGAAGCAAAAAAACUUGCAAAGCCGAGAGGACAUAGGAUUAAUAAUUCAGCAUCUAUGUUUUGAGUUGUUCCAUAGUUGACGCGUGGUAUCAGCUUAGUAAGGGCUUAAAUAAUCGUAGAGACAUUUAUAAUUGAUGGACAUAAUUAAGUAUGCGUAACAAAUUUGAAAUUCAUAAAAGAAAAUCAAUGCUUUGGUACAGUGUUAAAUUUAAGGUUUUACUAGCAUAAUAAUUUAAGUCACCACAGAGGUUCAAUAUACACUCGAAUCUCUGUACUCUUUUAGACUUUUAAAAUUUGAAUACAUAGUGCUUUUAUAUUCAAAGGUCCAAGUAAUAAAUUAGAGUCCAAUUCAUAUCACAUAUUCAGAUUUGAGAGAAAUAAAUAAACUCUCUUACCAAUUGAACUUUUAUUUUUUAAAUCAACCAAGUGCAAGGAUUAAAAUCUUGAAAUUGAAAGGAGAGAGGUUUCAUCUGGAAAUGUUGAAGAGUAAAGGGAUUGGAGGAUAAUUAGAGAUUUUUUUUUGUAAUUUCUGAAAUUAGACGUUUAGAAUGGUCUAAAAAAUACAAGAAAACCUCAACUGUUUCUAUCCAAAAAAAAGGAAACAAAAUCAACCAUUUUUUACGCACUUGAAACACUAGUAGCCAAGUGUGUUUUGUAAAUUUGGAAAUUUUCAUGAAUCCCGGUGUACUAUAAAUAGUGACAUAAUGAUGGUGUUUCCAAGCAAAUCAUGCUCGAGUUCAAGUUUUUGGUGCCGUAGCUUGUCUCUCCUGUCCUAUUAGGGUCCUGUUUGCAUCCAACCAGUUGUUUCCAAGAGCUAGGCUUGAUACUUAAAAUAAGAACCACUAUGGGUAUUUCUAGUUAUAGUUUCUUUCUGUUUUUAUUUGUUGUCAUAAUCCCAAACCUAGAAGCUCAUAUCGCUGAGUAUGACGAGUACUGGACGGCACGAGAAUUGGAAGCCAUUGAGAACCUGGACAAGGCCUAUCACUCCAACCCGGAGGAGGUGGUCCGCCAUUACAAUGACCACUUCUCUAGGACCAUGCUCGAGUUUUAUAUCACCAAAAGGGUGUUGGCAGAAUCAAAAAAGGGUCCCUGUGAGGUUACCAACCACGUUGACAGUUGCUGGCGAUGUGAUCCUGACUGGGAAAAGAAUAGGAAGAAGUUGGCCAACUGUGCCCCUGGAUUUGCUCGAGGUACUACCGGUGGAAAGGAUGGUGAGUUUUACGUGGUCACUGACCCUAUUGAUAAUGCUGCUGACCCGAAUCCUAGAACUCUACGUCAUCUUGUCACCAAAAAUGGACCACUUUGGAUCAUUUUCAAAGGGCCCAUGACCAUCAAGCUGCAAGAGGAGCUCAUUGUUACAAGUGAUAAAACCAUUGAUGCGAGGGGAGCCAAUGCGGAAAUUUUUACUGGUACUGGUAUCACUAUCCAAUUUCCAAAGAACGUCAUUAUCCAUGGCCUUUAAGUCCAUCUCAUUAUUCCCGCUAAGGGUGGCAAGAUCAAGGAUGGUGAAAACCACCAUGGGUUACGAGGUGACAGCGACGGAGAUGGGGUCUCUCUUUACGGAGCAACCAAUGUUUGGCUCGACCAUCUUUCCCUUCACCAUUGCACCGAUGGCCUUAUCGAUCUCGUUCAAGGAUCAACUGCCGUUACCAUUUCUAGCUGCCACUUCACUGACCACAACGAUGUAAGCUUACUUUCCUUUGUAUUUUAAACUAGGCACGAUGAGGAAUUUUUUGAUUGACAAAAAUAAUACAAUUGAAAUGUAAAAAAUUACAGGUGAUGUUGUUUAGAGCAAGCGACUCCUACAGUGCCGACAAUAAGAUGCAGGUCACUGUUGCUUUGAACCACUUCGGUAAAGGAUUGGUAGAGAGGAUGCCUAGGUGGCGAUUUGGUUUUAUUCAUGUCGUCAACAAUGACUACAAUCACUGGUUCCUGUAUGCCAUUGGCGGCACCAGCAACCCUACAAUUAUUAGCCAGGGCAAUAGGUAUUCUACGCCAGUCACCUGUAGGGGCCUCUUAAAGCCAGCACAGUGGAAGAAUUGGAACUGGGUAUCACAAGGUGACCACUUUGAGAACGGUGCGUUUUUGCACCAUCCGGUAAUCCAAGUGCCAGCAAGUAAUUUGGUACUGACAAAAUGAUUCCUUUCAAACCCGGUCAAAUGGUCUUCGAACUCACAAAGUAUGCCGGACCACUCAACUGCACAAUCAGCCGUCCUUGCUAAAAAUGCUAUUUUAUAUGCAUGUGUCCUCUGUUUUACGUACAAUAUUUGAUACCCAAGCGUAGUACAUUUGGUAUCUUUUCUGAAUGAUUGUCAGUAAAUUUUCUGUUAUGUGAUUCCACCCUAUUCUCUUCUUCACUCCUACUAAUAGAUAAUUACAAUUUUUUUCACACGCGUAACUGUGCAAAUCAUAAAUUUAGAACAUAAAUGUUUGUUUGAAAAUAACAUAUAAUGAAUAAUGAAAUGUGUGGUUUGAAACAAAGUAACAAUAAUAACAUUGAUUAUCAUAGUGUUUUCAUCAAUCUUUAGUUGGUGUAGGCACCAAAUCAAUGAAAUACAUUAAUCUAACAUAUCUAGUAUAUAUAUUCUAUUGCAAGGUUUUUUUGGAUUUGUGGAAACCUUCAGUUUGAAGUGAGUUUAGAAUUUGGUAUGUGUCACCAAUCAUUUCUUGACGGGUAUGGAAAUUAAUGAAAUAAAAUAUAUGGUUAGAACUAAAGUUGCGUAUUUAAUUAAAAAUUCUAACAAUCGUGAGACCAUUUAGUUUCUAUAAAUUUUGUAUGUCCCAAUUUACAUAGUCGGGUACUCAGUCAUUUGUCAAAACACAUCAAAGUGAGAAAAGAAAGAAACAAGAAUCAUGAGCGUUCCUCAUAUAGUAAUAUUCCUAAUAAUGCAAUCACAACGGCGAUUCCACUCUGUGUUCUUUCAUCACCAUGAACUAAAUUGAUUUUUUACAACAACAUUUAUAAUCGAGACAUCAACUAUGCAUUUAAGGUGGUGUAUGAGUUAUAUUUCUUUAAGACUCAGUGAGGGUUGGGGAGUCGUCCAAGACAUUGCUUUUACCAGUAUAAAGUCAAAUACAAAAGCAAAAAAACUUGCAAAGCCGAGAGGACAUAGGAUUAAUAAUUCGGUAUCUAUGUUUUGAGUUGCUCCUUAGUUGACGCAUGGUAUCAGCUUAGUAAGGGCUUAAAUAAUCGUAUAGAUAUUUAUAAUUGAUGGAGGUAAUAAAGCAUGCGUAACAAAAUUGAAAUUCAUAAAAGAAAAUCAAUGUUUAGGUACAGUGUUAAAUUUAAGGUUUUAGUAGCAUAAUAAUUGAUGUGGGUUCAAAUCCCUUCGACAACAUAUUUUAUAUUCUUUUAAAGUAAUAAGAAUUAAAAUAACCUUCAAUAAUAUAACUUAUUUCAAACAUGAAAGGAAAGUAUUUCUAAUUUCUGUUAUAGAGUGAUGCUCGAUCGACUCAUGUCACCAAAUUAGUUAAGGACUUCUAUAAAAGUUAGUAUAGAUUGUAACGAUAAUGAAAUAUGCAUUAAAAAUGACCAUAGAGGUUCAAUUUCCCCUUGAAUCUCUAUACUCUUUUAGACUUUUAAAAUUUGAAUACAUAGUACUUUUAUAUUCACAAGUCCAAGUAAUAAAUUAGAGUCCAAUUCAUAUCACAUAUUCAGAUUUAAGAGAAAUCAAUAAACUCUCUUACCAAUUAAACUUAUUUUUUAAAUCAGCCAAUGGAAGGAAUAAAAUCUUGAAAUUGAAAGGAGAGAGGUUUCAUAUGGAAAUGUUGAAGAGUAAAGAGAUUGGAGGAUAAUUAGAGAAUUUAUUUUCUGUAAUUUCUAAAAUUAAAGGUUCAGAAUGGCGUAAAAAAGGCAAGAAAAACCUCAAUUGUUUCUAUCUAAAAAAAAAGGAAACAAAAUCCAAAAAUUUUUUACGCACUUGUCACACUAGUAGGCAAGUGUGUUUUGUAAAUUUGGUACUUUAAAUGAAUCUUGGUGUACGAUAAAUAGUGACAUAAUGAUGAUGUUCCAAGCAAAUCAUGCUUGAGUUCAAGUUUUUUGUGUUGUAGCUUGUCUCUCCUAUCCUAUUAGGGUCUUGUUUGCAACCAACCAAUUGUUUCUAAAAGCGAGGCUUUGAUACAUAAAAUAAGAACCACUAUGGGUAUUUCUAGUUAUAGUUAUAGUUUCUUUCUAUUUUCAUUUGUUGUCAUAAUCCCAACCCUAGAAGCUCAUAUCGCUGAAUAUGACGAGUACUGGAAGGCACGAGAAUUGGAAGCCAUUGAGAACCUGGACAAGGCCUAUCAUUCCAACCCGGAGGAGGUGGUCCGCCAUUACAAUGACCACUUCUCUAGGACCAUGCUUGAGUUUUAUAUCACCAAAAGGGUGUUGGCAGAAUCAAAAAAGGAUCCCUUUGAGGUUACCAACCACGUUGACAGUUGCUGGCGAUAUGAUCUUGACUGGGAAAAGAACAGGAAGAAGUUGGUCGACUGUGCCCCUGGUUUUGCUCGUGGUACUACUGGUGGAAAGGAUGGUGAGUUUUACGUUGUCCCUAACCCUAUUGAUAACGCUGCUGACCCCAAGCCUGGAACUCUACGUCAUGCUGUCACCCAAACUGAACCACUUUGGAUCACUUUCAAAGGGUCCAUGACAAUCAAGCUGCAACAAGAGCUCAUUGUUACAAGUGAUAAAACCAUUGAUGCAAGGGAAGCCAAUGUGGAAAUUUUUAAUGGUGCUGGUAUCACUAUCCAAUAUGCGAAGAACGUCACUAACCAUGGCCUUCAAAUCCAUCACAUUAUUCCCGCCAAUGGUGGCAAGAUCAAGGAUGGUGAAAACCACCAUGGGUUACGUGGUGACAGCGACGGAGAUGGAGUCUCUCUUUUUGGAGCAACCAACGUUUGGCUCAACCAUCUUUCCCUUCACCAUUACACUGAUGGCCUUAUCGAUGUCGUUUAAGGAUCAACUGCUGUUACCAUUUCUAACUACCACUUCACUGACCACAACACUGUAAGCUUACUUUCCUUUCUAUUUUAAACUAGGCACGAUGAGGAAUUUUUUGAAUGAAAAAAAUAGUACAAUUGAAAUGAAAACAAUUACAGGUGAUGUUGUUUGGAGCAAGCGACUCUUACAGAGCCGACAAGAAGAUGCAGGUCACUGUUGCUUUGAACCACUUCGGUAAAGGAUUGGUAGAGAGGAUGCCUAGGUGCCGAUUUGGUUUUAUUCAUGUCGUCAACAAUGACUACAAUCACUGGUUCCUGUAUGCCAUUGGCGGCACCAGCAACCCUACAAUUAUCAGCCAGGGAAAUAGGUAUUCUGCACCAGGUACCUUCGGGGCUAAGAAGGUGACCUGUAGCGGCCUCUUAAAUCCAUCACAGUGAAAGAAUUGGAACUGGGUAUCACAGGGUGACCACUUCGAGAAGGGUGCCUUUUUUACACCAUCCGGUAAUCCAAGUGCCAGCAAGCAAAUUGGUGCUGACAAAAUGAUGCCUUUCAAACCCGGUCAAAUGGUCCCCGAACUCACAAAGUAUGCCGAACCACUUAGCUGCACGAUUGGCCGUCCUUGCUGAAAACGCUAUUUUUAUAUACAUGUGUCCUCCCUUUUUUACGUGCAAUAUUUGAUACCCAAGCAUAGUACAUUUGGGAUUUUCUGUGAAUCAUUGUUAGUAAAUUUUCUUUUAUGCGAUUCCACCCUAUUCUCUUCUUUUCUCCUACUAAUAGAUAAUUACAAUUUUUUGCACACGCGUAUCUGUGGGAAUCAUAUAUUUAGAACAGAUAUGUGUGUUUCAAAAUAACAUAUAAUGAAUAAGGAAAUGUGUGGUUUGAAACAAAGUAACAAUAAUAACAUUGAUUAUCAUGGUGUUUUCAUCAAUCUUUAGUUGGUGUAGGCACCAAAUCAAUCAAAUACAUUAAUCUAACAUAUCUAGUAUAUAUAUUCUACUGAAAGGUUUUGUUGGAUUUGUGGAAACCUUCAGUUUUAAGUGAGUUUGGAAUUCGCUAUGUGUAACCAAUCAUUUCAUGACAGGUAUGGAAAUUAAUGAAAUUAAAUAAUUUGCUAGAACUAAAGUUGCAUAAUUAAUUAAAAAUUUUAACAAUCGUGAGACCAUUUAGUUUCUAUAAAUUUUGUAUGUCCCAACAUACAUAUUCGAGUACUCAGUCAUUUUUCAAAACACAUCAAAUCGAGAAAAGAAAGAAAGAUUAAACAUGAGUGUUCCUCAUAUAGUAAUAUUCUUAUUACUGCAACCGCAAUGGCGAUUCAUCCCGGGGUUAUUGCAUCACCAUGAACUAAAUCGAUUUUUGACUACAACAUUUAUAAUGGAGACAUGAAGUUUGCAUUUAAGGUGGUGCAUGAGUUUGAUUUCUUUAAGGCUUAGCGAGGCUCGGGGAGUCGUCCAAGGCCCCUAAUACUUUUAAAAGAUUUCGUUAAAGAAGUUCAAUUUAUAAGUUUAAGCUUCCACAAAUAUCGUUGCUUUUACCCGUAUAGAGUCAAAUACCGAAGCAAAAAAACUUGCAAAGCCAAGAGGACAUAGGAUUAAUAAUUCGGCAUUGAUGUUUUGAGUUGAUCAUUAGUUGACGUGUGGUAUCAACUUAGUCAAGAGCUUAAAUAAUCAUAUAGAUAUUUAUAAUUGAUGGAUGCAAUAAAGUAUGCGUAAAAAAAUUGAAAUUCAUAAAAGAAAAUCAAUGUUUUGGUACAGUGUUAAAUUUAAGGUUUUAUUAACAUAAUAAUUGAUGUGGGUUCAAAUCCGUUUGACUGCAUAUUUUAUAUUCUUUUAGAAUAAUAAGAACUAAAAUAGCCUUCAAUAAUAUAACUUAUUUUAAACAUGACAGGAAAGUAUUUCUAAUUUCUGUAAUAUAGUCGUGUCACCGAAUUAGUUAAGGACAUCUAUAACAGUUAGUAUAAAUUGUAAAGAUAUUGAAAUAUGCAUUAAAAAUCACCACAGAGGUUCAAUUUCCCCUUGAAUCUCUGUACUCUUUUAGCCCUUUAAAAUUUCAUCGUCCUAUUUUUAAAAUUACAUGAAUUUGAUGCUUUACUUAUUGAGUUUAAUAUAAUUUUUGGAAAAAAAUCAAAUUGAUAGCACUACAAAAAAAUUCAUUAAAUUUGAAUACUUAGUACUUUUAUAUUCAAACGUCCAAUUAAAAAAUUAGAGUCCAAUUCAUAUCACAUAUUCAGAUAUAAGAGAAAUCAAUAAUCGUUCUUACCAAUUGAUCUUUUAUUUUUUAAAUCAGCUAAGUGGAAGGACUAAAAUCUUGAAAUUGAAAACAAAGAGGUUUCAUCUGGAAAUGUUGAAGAGUAGAGGGAUUGGAUGAUAAUUAAAGAAUUUAUUUUUGUAAUUUCUGAAAUUAGACGUUCAUAAUGGCGUAAAAAAUGCAAGAAAAACCUCAGCUGUUUCUAUCGAAAGAAAGGAAAAGAAAAUCCAAACAUUUUUUACGCGCUCGAAACACUGGUAGCCAAGUAUGUGUUGUAAAUUUGGUAAUUUUAGUGAAUCUCGGUGUAGUAUAAAUAGCAACAUAAUGAUGGUGUUCUAAGCAAAUCAAGCUCAAGUUCAAAUUUUUUUGUCAUAGCUUGUCUCUCCAAUCCUAUUAGGGUCUUGUUUGCAUCCAACCAGUUGUUUCCAAGGGAUAGGCUUUGAUAGUUAAAAUAAGAACCAUUAUGUGUAUUUCUAGUUAUAGUUAUAGUUUCUUUCUGUUGUUAUUUGUUGUCAUAAUGCCAAAACUAGAAGCUCAUAUUGCUGAAUAUCACAAGGUCUAUCUCCCCAACCCGGAGGAGGUGGUCCGCCAUUAUAAUAACCAUUUCUCUAGGACCAUGCUCGAGUUUUAUAUCACCAAAAGGAUGUUGGCAAAAUCGAAAAAGGGUCCCUGUGAGGUUACCAACCACGUUGAUAGUUGCUGGUGAUGUGAUCCUAACUAGGAAAAGAAUAGGAAGAAGUUGGCCGACUGUGCCCCUGGAUUUGCUCGUGGUACUAUCGGUGGAAAGGGUGGUAAGUUUUACGUGGUCACUGACUGUAUUGAUAAUGCUGCUGACCCCAAGCCUGGAACUCUUCUUCAUGUUGUCAUGCAAACUAGACAACUUUGGAUCUCUUUCAAAGGGUCCAUGACCAUCACGCUGAAAUAAGAGGUCAUUGUUACAAUUCAUAAGACCAUUGAUGCGAGGGGAACCAAUGUUGAAAUUUGCAAUAGUGCUAGUGUUAAAUUUGAGUUUUUACUAACAGAAUAAUUGAUGUGGGUUCAAAUCCCUUUGAAAGCAUAUUUUAUAUUUUUUAAAAUAAUAAAAACUAACAGAAUAAUUUAAGGUUUUAGAAUAAUAUAAUUUAUUUUAAAUACGAAAGGAGAGUAUUUCUGAUUUUCGUAAUAUAGUCGGUGCUCGAUUAACUCGUGUACUCUUUUAGACUUUUAAAAUUUCAUCCUUUUUUUUUAAAAAUUAAAUGAAUUUACUACUUUACUUAUUCAAUUUAAUAUAAAUUUUUUUAAAAUCUAAUUGAUAACAUUAAUAACAAAAUUCAUUAAAUUUGAAUACAUAGUAGUUUUAUAUUUAAAGGCACAAUUAAAAAAUUAUAGUCCAAUUCAUAUCACGUAUUCAGAAUUAAGAGAAAUCAAUAAACUCUCUUACCAAUUGGAAUUUUAUUUUUUAAAUCAGCCAAGUGGAAGGACUAAAAUCUUGAAAUUGAAAGCAAAAAGAUUUCAUCUUGAAAUGUUGAAGAGUAGAAGAAUUGGAGAAUAAUUAGAGAAUUUUUUUUUGUAAUUUCUUAAAUUAGAAAUUCAGAAUGGCAUAAAAUUUGCAAGAAAAACCUCAAUUGUUUCUCUCAAAAAAAAAUGGUAAGAAAACCCAAACGUUUUUUAGGCACUAGAAACACUGGUAGCCAAGUGUGUUUUGUAAAUUUGGUAAAUUUAAUAAAUCCCGGUGUACUAUAAAUAGCGACAUAAUUAUAGUGUUCCAAGCACGUCAAGCUCGAGUUCCACUUUUUGGUUUCGUAGCUUGUCUCUCCUAUCCUAUCAAGUCCUUUUUUCAUCUAACUAGUUUGUAACACCCUAACUCGUAUUCGUCGUUGAAAUAGGGUUACGAACAUUACUGAAGAUUUCAAAUCAAAACAAUCAAAAAUUUAAAACAUUUAAUUCACAUCAUCAAUUAUAGAAAAAACCAAUCAAAGACAUACAUAUUGUCCCUUAUUCGAGCCCUCGAGGCCCUAAAAACACAUUACAAACAUAUCAGGACUAAAUCAGAAACUGAUAAAAUUUUUCCUAAAAAGGUGAAAAUUUUCAAACAAUAGGGGUCACACGGCUGAGACACACGCUUGUGUCUCAAGCCAUAUGGGCAUUCGAAGUAGGGACACACGGUCGUGUCCCAACUCGUGUCUGAGCCUAUGUAACUCUCUAACUUAGGUCACACGGCCAAGCCACACACCCGUGUACUAGGCCGUGUACCCUUCAAAAUGGCCUCACACGUCCGUGUGCUAGGUCGUGUAACUGCUUGACUUGCAACCCUUUGUAAGCUAUAGGGGACAUGCGGCCGUGCCACACACAACUGAGACACACACCCCUGUCUUAGGCCAUGUGGACAAGAAUUAGGAUAUUUUCAAGCCAAUUCUUUCACCCAAAAUGUGCACACUUGUGCAACUCAAACGCACCUAAUUCAAGUUUCAAAAAUAUACCUAAAAUGUGAAUAGUCAAGCUAACACAAUAUAAUACUAAUUAUACGACCUAUAUGCCCUAAGGCAUCUCAAUUUACAUGACAUUAAACAUAUCCAAACACAAGCAUAAUAUAGUCAUUAAUAACUUAACAUUCACAAUCUAAAUUCUAUACCAUUUCAUACCACAUUUGCCACAUUCAAACACAUCAAAAUGGUCAUCCAAAACAUGUAUUCACUUGACCACUCCAACACAUACCAUUCAAGUACCAAAAUGCCAAAACAUUUACAAUCAUAAACCAUAUAUACAUACUAACAAAACCACCAAACCUGUAAUAGACAUUUUCAGUGAAAUUAGAAUAGUGGUUUCAAGACCACAAGUCUAAAGUUAAAAAGUUUAUUUUAUUAUUAUUUUAUUGCAUACAACAUUAUAGUAUUACCAUAUAAAAAAAUUUAAGAAAUUUUACGGUUUACAUGCUCAAUUUGAUAAAAAUGACUAAAUCGCUUAAAGUGCAAAAGUUGAGUUCUAAUAGCUAAAGGUAUUAAAUAGCUAUAGAACCUUAGAGUAAGAGUCCUUAUAUGGUAAUUAUACCAUUUAUAUGUUAGUGGAUGAGCAUGGCUUGGAAUUUGUGUAAAUUUGCUUAAUUUUUAAAGUUAAUUAAGUAAAUAGGUAAAUAAUGAUAAAAACUAAUGAAAUAAAAUAUGCUAUCAUCUUUUAUUCUUCAUCAUGAAUCAAAAAUUAGGUUUUGGGAAGCCAUUUUGGUGCUUAAGCUUGCGGCAACUUCGUCUUGCUCUUAUGUAAGUGAUUUUUGUCUCCUUUUUAAUGAUUUCUACGUUUUCGGGAUCGUUGUAGCUUAAUCUAGCUAGCCCGGGGACUAAUUUGUGAAACUAUGAAAAUAUUAGGGUUUUUCCAUUGAUGAAAAUACAUGAUUUUUUAUGUUUGAUGAUAUAAAAUGGAUGGUUGUAGUUAGAUAAACAACUUUUCUUAAAAGAUUUUUGAUGAAAUUGUCAAAUAGGGACUAAAUAAAAAAAUAAAAAAAUAUUACAUGGUGAAAUUGCUAAAUAAUUAAAGUAUAGGGCAUGCUAGGGACCUAGUUGAUAUUCAGCCAUAGUGGAUUGUGGUGAAAAUGCAUAAAUUUCCAUUUUUAUGAGCUAGGGACUAAAUUGUAAAGAAAUUAAAAGUAUAGGGGCAAAAUAGUAAUUUUUCCAAAAUGUGAUUUUGGCCUAAAUUGAAUAAGUUGUGUAUUAAAUUUAGUUAAAUUUAUCCAUAUACAUCAAGACAAACCUCGUACAGAGUUAAAUCGAGACAAAAGGAAAAUCUCAGAUUUCCAUAUCAAAGUAUACUCAUCGAGGUAAGUUCAUGAAAUUAAAUCAUUUUUAUAUGUUUUAGAUUGAAAUAUAUAUGUUAUGAAUUUUCAUACAUAAUUACUAAAUGCAUACCCAACAGCGUACGAUGAUUACCAAGCCUAGUUUGAACCUUAAGAAUCCGUAGGAUACAAAUGACAUGUCAUUAAGGUUUACAUGAUUUGGGUAUUGGUCCUGAACAUCCUACCGAUGGUUGAGGUCCUGUAUGUGUUACAGAUACUCCAUAGCUUGUGUGAGCAACAUCGUGUAGCUACGUUUUGACCCACAGCUCAUGUAAACAUACCGAUUUAUAGCUCAUGAGAGCAUACUGAUCUACAGCUCGAGUGAGCAUAUCGAUCUAUAGCUCGAGUGAGCAUACCGAUUCACAGCUCGUAUGAGCAUCCAUGUACAUGAAUUGAAGAAUUACAGUUAUAUGAGUUAGCACACUAUGUGUGAGCUAUCCUGGGUAUCCAACAAUAUUCUAAACGGUUCAACGGGCAAUGUUCCAAUACGAAUUGAUAAGAUUUUGAUACGAACUAUUACAUGUAUAUACAUGAAUUACAUGGAAAUGUUAUUACAUGGUAUAUAGAAACUUGAAUUGGUCGGUACAUGUACUUGGAACUUGACCAAUUGUUGUAUUCAUCCAUGUUUAUUGGCUUAUAUAUUUGUUUACAUGGCUAACUUGGAUGGUGAAUAUGUGUGUAGGCAUUUGGCCAAAUUGUGUUGGAAUAUGCUUGGUUUACUUACCUAUUAUAUGAUUAAAUGGUAAGUUAUAUUCUUAGUUAUACGAACUUACUAAGCUUAAAUGCUUACUCUGUGUUAUUUUCUAUGUUUUAUAGUGAAUCAAAAGCUCGUUCGAGUUGGAAGCUUGUUGGAGCUAUAUCAUAUUAUCCAUCGGCUCUUUUGGUACAUUCGAUUGUUAAAUUUUGGUUAUAAUGGCAUGUAUAGGUAUUUCGGCUAAUGUUGGUCUAUAUGUUUUGUUGUGGAUAUGGAAAUUUGAUUUGGCUUGUGUUUUGGUAUGUAUACCAGUAGCCUUAAAAUGGUUGAUGAAUGACUUAAUAUGGUUGAAUGAUGGAAGAUGAGGUGAUAGAUGAAUAUGCAUAAUAUAUAUGGUGUAACACCUUUUACCCGAGACCGUUGCCGGAGUCGAUCAUGAGGCAUUACUUGACUUAACUUAUAAGUUCGGGGCAUAAAAAUUUACUUUUAAAAUUUAUUUCACUAUUCACCAUAAUGUUGUGCACCUAUGCAGCAGUCACUAAUUUAAUUAUAACUCAAGUUAAAAAACUCAAAAUUUAGGUCCGUAAAUUUUCCCUUAAACUAGACUCAUAUAUUUUCUUUCCAUAAAUUUUUUAGAAUUUUUGGUUCAUCCAAUCAGUACAUUUUAUUAGUUAAAUUCUACCCUAUUUCACUAUCCGAGUGUCCUGCCCUCUCAUCACUAAAAAUUAAUUAUCUUAUUCUAAAGACUUUAUAUGGUGCUUCCACUUGUUUCUAAUAAAAAUAGACUCACUAAGGAUUUCAUACAUAUAAAUUAUAACUCAUAAUUCUUUGUAUAAAAUCUCAUUCACUCUCUAAUUCCAUUUCUAAUAAUUUUGGUGAUUUUUCAAAUUCACAUCACUGUAGUUGUCCAAAAACUAUACCAUUGCAAAUUUUUACUCUUUUUAUAAUUUCUUUGUAUUAAUCAACAUUUAAACAUCCAUAAUACCAAACAUGUUCUUAGUUAACCAUUUUAAUAGAAAAUCAUUAGCCCUAUCAUAUGAACACACUCAAAAUUACUAAGUCCCUGUACAUGCAAUAGCUUUACACGUUCGAAAUUUCAUAAUAUCGAGAUGUCUGUGGAUAGUGUGAGACGAACUCCGACGUCCUUGUGAUCCCCAACUGACUUGGCGAUUGUAUAAAAAUAAGGAACAUAAAUAAAGUAAGCAUAAAGCUUAGUAAGUUUACAAGUAAAUAAAUAACAACAUUUAUCAUAAACCAUCAUACUCAUAAAUUUUCAUCAAGCACUCGGAUCUUUACUUUCUUCUUUACUUACUCACUUGUUUACUUACUUGCUUGCUUAAAUAACUCACAAUUAUAACUUACUCUUCACUUACUGAAAUUCUUUUUCUCAACUGAUAAUUGAGAUAUUUUCGAUCCUUUAUAACUCACCUGAAUCUAGUUAUCAUGCUUUUGCUUGAACUUUCAUGUAACUUAAUUCAUUUUCUAGCUCGUUGAAUCAUUGGGAAUACUAAGGAUACUCGGGUCUCUUGUCUGAAUAUAACAUGCCAAAGCUAUGUUCCAAACAUAGUCUUACAUGGGUUGUUUCCUGUACUGCCAAUGCCAUAUCCUAGAUAUGGUCUUACAUGGGAUUUCUCAUAUCGGUGCCCAUGCCAUGUCCCAGACAUAGUCUUACGAGGGACCUUUCAUCUCGGUGCCAAUGCCAUGUCCUAGACAUGGUCAUACAUGGGACCUCUCAUAAUCUCAGUGAUGCCAAUGCCAUGUCCCAGGCAUGGUCUUACGUGGGAUCUCUUUACCCAAAUUUCAUGACAUUUGUAUCCAGUACAUUCCUAAUGUUUCAACGGGGCUUGUAUCACUAAUUCUCUGUCAUGUCAUACUUGAGUCAACAUUAUAUAUUUUCAUGAAAUAAAUACAUAAUUGCUGAAAUAUAACAAUAUUAAUAAUACUUAUUGAAAUAUUGUAUUUAUUUACCGUAAACUUACCUCGGUACCAAAUUUGACCAAAUCUAGCAAUUUAGUCUUCAAUCUUUUUCUUUCCCCAGUCUAACUUCAGAUUUCGUUCUUCUUAAUCUAUAAUAGAAAAUUUUUCUUAUUUAAUAUUCACAUUUAUCAAAACAAUCCUUGACUCAAACUUUGGCAAAAUUAUAAUUUUGCCUCUAAACUUGUGCAUAUUUACACUUUUUCCCCAAAGCUCGGAUAUUAAACUUCAUCUCUUAUUCUUAUGUUUUAUGACAUGCUGAACAUUUUUCCCUUCUAUGGUAACAUCAAAUUCCCACUCUAACACUUACUUUUGAAAAUUAGGUAUUUUUACCGAUUAUGUCAUUUUACUCAUUUUCACUUAAAAUCGGCUUGCAAAAGUUAUUAAACAUAAUUUAAAGCUUCAUAUUCUACCAUAAAACAUCAAAAUAAACACAUUUCACCUAUGUUUAUUUUUCCAAAUAUAAACCCUAGUUUAAAUUAUUGCUAGAAUAAGCUAAAUCAAGUUACCGGGACUCUAAAAACGUAAAGAACAUUAAAAACGGGGCUUGGGAUCACUUACUAUAGAGCUUGAAAGCUUGAAAACCCUAACUAUGGCUUCCCCCAUUGCUAAUUUCGGCCAAAUGAAGAAUAUGAACAAAAAUUGGCUUUUAAUUUUGUUUUUAAUUCAUUUUAAUAACUAAAUGACCAAAAUGUCCUUAAUGAAAAUCUUUGGAAACAAGUCUAACCAUGUCCAUUUUUGUCCACGAACUUAACCAAUGGUCUAAUUACCAUAUAAGGACCUCCAAAUUAAAAUUUCAUAACAAUUAGACACAUCUAACAUGUAGAACUCAACUUUUGCACUUUUUACAGUUUAGUCCUUUUUACUAAAUUGAGUGCCCAAACGUUGAAAUUUUCGAACGAAAUUUUCACAAACUCAUUCCGUGAAAUCGUAGACCAUAAAAAUAUAAUAAAAAUAAAUUUUAUCACGUCGAAUUUGUGGUCCCAAAACCACUAUUUCUACUAGGCCCAAAAUUAUGAUGUUACAUUUCUCCCACUUUAGGGAUUUUCGUCACCGAAAAUUUUACCUAUGAAGAAAUUUGGGUACUGUUUUAACAUAGCCUCUUCGGGAUCGCAUGUAGCCUCAUCAACCCCAUGCCUAUUCCAUAACACUUUCACAAGUGCAAUACUCUUGUUCCUUAGUUGCUUGAUCUCUCUAUCUAGAAUUUUUACCGGUUCUUCAACAUAAGUCAUGUCUGGCUGAAUCUCAACCUCUGUCGGUGAGAUCACAUGUGACGGAUCGGAACGGUAAUGACGUAGCAUAGACACAUGGAACACAUUAUGAAUAUUAUCUAACUCAGUUGGAAAAGCUAACCGAUAUGCUAAGGGCCCAAUUCUUUCAGUCACCUCAAACGGUCCAAUAAAAGGUCGACUUAGUUUGCCUUUCUUGCCAAAUCUGAAAAUUUUCUUCCCCGGGGAUACUUUUAAAAAAACUUUGUCACCAACUUGAUACUCGAUCUCUUUUCUUUUUAAAUCUGCAUAAGACUUUUGUCUGUUUGAAGCUGCUUUUAAACAAUCUCUAAUAACUUUUACUUUCUCUUCCGUUUCUUUGACUAAAUCAACCUCAUAAAUCUGAUUUUCCUUAAGCUUUGUCCAAUACAAAGGCAUACAACACUUACAUCCAUACAAAGCUUCAUAAGGAGCCAUUUUUAAACUCAACUGAUAACUAUUAUUAUAGGCAAACUCUACCAACGGCAAAUAUUUCUCCCAACUACCUUGAAAUUCUAAAAUACAACAUCUGAGCAUAUCUUCAAGUAGCUAAAUAACUCUCUCCUACUGACCAUCGGUCUGAAGAUGGAAAGCCAUACUAAAGUUCAACUUUGUACCUAAAGCUUCCUGCAAUUUCCUCCAAAAUCACGAAGUAAAUCUUAGAUCUCUGCCUGAGAUGAUCGGUAACGGUACCCCAUGUAAUCUCACUAUCUCUGAAACAUACAAUUCAGUCAACUUGUCAAGUGAAUAACCCAUACGAACCGGGAUAAAAUGAGUUGAUUUCGUUAGCUUAUCAAUCACAACCCAUACUACAUCUUUCUUUCUCGGUGUCAACGGCAACCCUGCUACAAAAUCCAUGGUAACUCGGUCCCAUUUCCACUCAGGAACUAACACAGGCUGCAAUAAACCUGAAGGUACAUAAUGUUCGACCUUUACCUGUUGAGAGAUCAAGCAUCUAGAAACAAAUUCUGAAAUAUCUCUUUUCAUUCUUACCCACCAGUACAUUUUCUUUAAAUCAUUAUACAUCUUUGUACUACCUGGGUGAAUAGACAAAUAACUGCUAUGUGCUUCCUGUAAGAUCUUUCGAAUAAGCUCAUCAUUCUUCGGUACACAUAUCUGAUUUCUGAACAUCAAACAACCAUCAGAACCAAUCUGAAAAUCAGACUCUACACCUGACACGCACUAAGCUCUUUUAGCUUGCAACUCAUUGUCAUCAUUCUGAGCUUUACAGAUUUCUUUGAGAAACAUCAGUUUAGCCAUCAACUCAGCUAAAAUGGAACCAUCAUUAGAUUAAUCAAAACUGGUAUUCAAAGCUCUCAAUGCAAAUAAAGAUUUUCUACUCAAGGCAUGAGAAACAACAUUUGCCUUACCUGGGUGGUAAUCGAUCACUAACUCAUAAUCUUUAAUCAAUUCCAGCCAUCUUCCUUGCCUCAAGUUCAAAUCUUUUUGAGUCAUCAAGUACUUCAAGCUUUUAUGGUCAGUAAAUAUUUGGCACUUUCACCGUACAAGUAAUGUCUCCAGAUCUUCAACACAAAUACAAUGGCAGCCAGCUUUAAGUCGUGCGUCAGGUAAUUUUUCUAGUGUCGCUUUAACUGUCUGGAAGCAUAUGCAAUGACUUUAUCUUCUUGCAUAAGUACACAACCCAAUCCGUUCAAGGAUGCAUCACUAUAAAUCACAAAUUCUUUACUCGGUUUUAAUUGUUCUAAAAUAAGAGCUUCAGUCAACAAUGCCUUUAACUUGUCAAAACUCUACUGACACUUUUCAAUCUAUUCAAACUUGACAUCUUUCUGGAACAAUCUUGUCAACGGGGUAGCUAUCAUGGAAAAUCCCUUUACAAAUCAUCUGUAAUAGCCAACUAAUCCAAGAAAACUUCUAACCUCUGACACAUUUUUGGGUGGUUUCCACUCAAAAAUUAUUGAAAUUUUACUCGGAUCAACUUUAAUACCAUCACCUGAGACAAUAUGUCUAAGGAAUCCAACUUCCCGAAACCAGAACUCACUUUAACUAAACUUGGCAUAAAGCUUAUUAUCUCUCAAAAUCUGUAAAACGGUUCUCAAAUGCUUGGCAUGUUCAAUCUCAUUAUGAGAAUAAAUCAGCAUAUCAUCAAUGAACACAACUAAAAAUUUAUCCAAGUAAGGUCUAAAAAUUCGGUUCAUUAAGUUCAUGAAAAUAGCAGGAGCAUUAGUCAAGCCAAAUCGCAUCACAACAAACUCAUAGUGACCAUACCUAGUCCGAAAAGUAGUCUUCGGAACAUCUGACUCUUUAACCCUCAACUGAUAAUAACCGAAUCUCAAAUCUAUCUUGGAAAACACAGUAGCUCCCUUCAAUUGGUCAAACAGAUUAUCAGUUCUAGGUAGUGGAUAUUUUUUCUUUACAGUUACUUUGUUAAGCUGCCGAUAAUCUAUGCAUAAUCUCAUCGAACUGUCUUUCUUUUUCACAAAAAGCACUGGUGCACUCCACGGAGAACAACUAGGCUUUGCAAAACCUUUAUCAGUUAAUUCCUGCAACUGAGCUUUUAAUUCUUUCAAUUCCAACGGGGCCAUUCUAUAAGGAGCAAUAGAAAUAGGAGUUGUACUUGGAAUCAACUCAAUACCAAAUUCAACUUCUCUAAUAUGAGGCAAACCUAGUAAUUCUUUCGAAAACACAUCUAAAUACUCACGUACCACUGGCACUGAUUCAAUUUUCAACUAUGGAUCUCCAGUGUUCAAUACAAAAGCAAGAUAAGCUUCACACCCUUUUCUCAAACAUUUCUGAGCAGACAUAAUAGAAAUCAUGGCAAGAGAACUAUCUGGCUCUUCUGAAUUAACCCGGAUAAUAUCACUAUUUUUACAUUUCAACUUAAUGUAUUUCUUUCCGCAAUUCACUAUCACAUCAUGGGCAGACACCAUAAUAAGGUAAAUUGACUUAACAACUCUUAUCGAAGCUCACACGAAGUUAUUUCUUUUUACCAACCGAUAGCCAAAGCAAACUCAUUUCAUAAUUCGAUAGUCGAAGCUAUCUAUUUUCAUAAUUUGAUAGUCGAAGCUAUCCCUUUACAUAGUUUGAUGGUCGUCACCAUCUCUUUUCAUAAUUUGAUAGUCGAAGCUAUCCCUUUUCAUUAUUUGAUGGUCGUCACCAUCCCUUUUCAUAAUUUGAUAGUUGAAGCUAUCCCUUUCCAGUAGUCGAUGAUUAUCGAUAUGCCGUUGGAUUUUUCCACUUAAACACAAUUGGAUAUUAUAUAAAAUAAUAGCAUUUAAAACAUAAUUUGAAAUAUUAUUUCAAUGUACGAACUUACCUCGAUGGUAAACAUAGAAAUGUUGUUGCUUAAUUUGAAGCUUUUUCUUUGCCUCAAUCUAGAGCCAUACGCAGUCUAUCUUGAUCUAAAUGAAUAAAUUUGAUCAAUUUAAUAACUAUUCUAUUCAAUUCAACCCUAAUUCACAUUUUUGAAAAUUACACUUUUUUCGCUAAUGUUUUUAUUUGUUCAAAUUAGUCCUUAGGGUCGUAAAAUGAAAUUCAUGCAAAUUCACCCCUACCCAACCCUAGCCAAAUUUCUUACAAGCUCAUACUAGCUCACACAUUUCAUUAUUUCACAAGUUACACCAUGAAUAUUUCACAUUUUAAAAUUUAAUCCAUAGUAGAAAAUUUCAACAAAAAUCACUUACUAAAAGUUGUUUAUCUAACAACUAACCAUUUUCUUUCAUCAAACAUACAAAUCAAUAAAUACAAAUUUAUGGUAAAUCCAUAAAAUUUUAAAAAAUUUUCAAAUUAGUCCCCAGGCUAUCUAGAUUAAGCUACAAUGAUCCCGAAAACAUAGAAGUCAUUAAAAACGGAAUAAAAACUACUCACAUGCAAGCAAAAGAGUGAUGGACGAAUGUUGGAUCUUCUCUUAUGGCUUUCCUUAGGUUAAAUUUUGGUUGAAUAUGAUUAAAGAAAUAUGAUUACAUUGAUUUUUCUUAAUUUUUAUCAUUAUUUACCAAUUUACCUUUAUAACCUUUUAAAACAUUAAAAAUUUCAUUAAUACCAAGCCAUGUACAUCCACGAUCUUCAUUAAUGGUCUAAUUGCUACAUAAGGACUCAUAAUUUAAGGUUCUAUAGCUAUUUAAUACAUUUAGCUAUGAGAACACUACUUUUUCACUUUAUGCGAUUUAGUCCAUUUUAUCAAAUUCAUCAUGCAAACGGUAAAUUUUCGUAUUAAAAUUUUUAUACAGUAAUACUAACUUGUUGUAGAUGUUAAAAUAAUAAUCAAAUAAAUGUUUCUACAUUAGAAUUAUUGUCCCGAAACAAUUGUUCUGAUUUCACUAAAAACAGGCUGUUACACAGUUAUUUCCAAGAGCUAGGCUUUCAUAGUUAGUAUAAGAAUCGCUAUGGGUAUUUCUAGUUAUAGUUAUAUUUUUUUCCGUUGUUAUUUUUUUGUAAUCCCAACCCUGGAAGCUCACAUUACUGAAUAUGACAAGUACUGAAAGGCACGAGAAUUGGAAGCCAUUAAGAACCUGGACAACGCCUAUCACCCCAACCCGGAGGACGUGGUCCGCCAUUACAAUGACCACUUCUCUAGGACCAUGCUUGAGUUUAAUAGUACAGAAAGGAUGUUAAAGGAAUUGAGAAAGGGUCUGUGUCACGUUACCAACCCUGUUGAUAGGUGCUAGCAAUGUGAUCCUGACUAGGAAAAGAACAAGAAGAAGUUGGCUGACAGUGCCCCUAGAUUUGCUCGUGGUACUACCACUGGAAAGGGUGGUGAGUUUUAUGUGGUCACUGAUCCUAUAAAUAAUGUUGUUGACCCCAAGCCAAGAACUCUAUGUCAUGCUACAACCCAAACUGGACCACUUUGGAUCACUUUCAAAAGGUCCAUGACCAUUAAGCUGGAACAGGAGCUCAUUGUUACAAGUGACAAGAUCAUUGAUGCGAGGGGAGCCAAUAUGAAAAUUUGCAAUGCUGCUGGUAUUACUUUCUAGUUUACAAAGCAUGUUAUUAUCCAUGGCCUCCAUAUCCAUCACAUUAUUCCCACCAAGUGAUGCGAACCAGCCUGCGAACCUAGCUAACACCAAACGAGGUCCCCUCGAGCUCCCCAUUGGACCAAUUACUCAAGUUCCCCAUUGGACCAAUUACUCGAGCUCGAGCUAAACAUUUUAAAGAAUCACUAUCAACUCUAUUUGAAUGAACUUGGGAGAAAGCUACAAAGGGGUUGGAUGACUCAUCAAGUAGCAUCUUCAAUUUAUUGGAAGCUGAAUUCAAAUCAGCUAGCUAACUUAGCUAGCUAUACUUGAACAUCUUAAUUAUUUUAGCUCAUUUAAUUUUGUUUAGCUCACUACAGCUUGAAUUACAUUUCUUAAAUGUGUCUUAGUCCAUUACGUAUUUAGUUGUGUGUUUAAUUUUCUUUAAAGUUAUUUUUUUAAUUUGUCUUACCAGGUUUUAAGGUAUACGACUGGACAAAUGCACAUUACCGAUUCAAUGAGGCUCAUUCAAUGAGGUGCAUGUACCUAAAUAUGCUUGAACUUUGGGAGCUGAUUAUUAGUUGAACAUACAUGUACCUUCCAGGUUCAUCAAAGCUAAUUAUUAUGGAAGCAUGUAUCCGACCAUGCACAUACGGAAGGCAUCAUCUUGCAGCUAAAUAUUCAUGUAUCUAGCCGAUACAUAGGAGCUAAUUAAUAUAGCACAUUGUACCCUAUUUAUGCAUGAAUCUUGAGCUGGUGUUUAGUGCAUUCAUUCAGCUCAUUAUUCAUGCAUCCAUUUCCAAAAGAUAUGAGCAGAUUCGCUACCAUUUAAGAGACCAUUCGUUGUUUGCUGAUUCACAGCUCAAGUCUCUUCAUAACCAAGUGUUCACAUCUCAAAGACCAUUUGAUUGCAAGCAAGGACAUUCACCAGCUACUUCUCAUUUGGUGCACCUCUUAGAAAUUACUUUCAUUCACCGAAUCCAACUCCAUUUAGCUCACCCAUCAACACCAUGAACCAAGGUUGUUUCGUCGCCUACUUAGUUAAAUUCAUUGGAUUAUUCCAGCUGGAAAUCAAAUCACUUUAGCUUCAUGUAUCUACUUUUAAAUCAUGUCCAUUCGGCUGGUUCUCUAUUAGCUUAUAAAUAGCACAAUUGUAAACCUUUUGAAGGUUAACUAAGAACUUUUGACAUACAAGAAUUAUAACUUUGUGAGUUAUUCACUCUCAUUUUUCUUUGAGAUUCAACUUGACUUAUCUAGCUAAGCUAGUGGCGUCAUCCUUGUUUCUUUCUAAACUUAUCACUCGUCCGAGUGUGGCGUUCAAACUUAUAUCGUUGGUUCCUAUCUUGCUAUAUAGUGGGUCACGGUCCUAUCCAACUAUCCAUCUUUUCACCUUAAAACUUAUAAGAUUCAGGUCCUUAAUCUCUAUUAAUGGUUUUUUCUUAUUUUAAGUUCUUUUAUCCAUCUAUCCAUUAAACUAUCUUUGUUAUUAAUUUCGCUGCCUAUUUAAACUAUCUUCUUAAAUUUAUCUUUUUUUAAACCAAAAAUAAGAACUACUUAAUUUUUGAUGGGCAAUCAAACGACUCAAUUACAUCCCGUAAUCGAGUUCGUAUCACCAAGGGUGGAAAGAUCAAGGAUGGUGAAAACCACCUUGGGUUUCGGACUGCUAGCGAUGGAGAUGGAGUCUCUCUUUUUGAAGCAACCAAUAUUUGGCUCGACUAACUUUCCCUUCACCAUUGCAUUGAUGGUCUUAUAGAUGUCAUUCAAGGCUCCAUUGCCGUUACCAUUUCUAACUGCCACUUCACUAACCACAACAAUGUACUAUUACUUUCUUUUCUAUUUUAAACUAGGCACGAUGAGGAAUUUUUUGAGUAACAAAAUAGUAUAAUUAAAAUGAAAAAAAUUACAGGUGACAGUUGUUCAGAGUAAGAGACUCCUACAGUGCCGACAAGAAGAUGCAAGUCACUAUUGCUUUGAACCACUUUGGUAAAGGAUAGGUAGAGAGGAUGCCUAGGUGCCGAUUUGGUUUUAUUCAUGUCAUCAACAAUCACUACAAUCAUUGGUUUUUGUAUGCCAUUGGUGGCACCAGCCACCCUACAAUUACCAGCCAGGGAAACAGGUAUUCCGCACCAGGCACCUUUGCGACUAAGGAGGUGACCUGUAGGGGCCUCUUAAAACCGGCACAGUGGAAGAAUUGGAACUAGGUAUCACAAGGUGACCAUUUCAAAAACGAUCCCAUUUUUAACCUAUCCGGUAAUUUGAGUGCCAGCAGCCAAUUUGGUGCCGACAAAAUGAUGCCUUUCAAACCUAUUCAAAUAGUCCCCAAACUCACAAAGUAUGUCGGACCACUCAGCUGCACAAUAUGCCGUCCUUACGAAAUACAUUAUUUUUAUAUGCAUGUGUCUUUUUCACGUACAACAUUUGAUACCCAAGCAUAGUACAUUUG